Long non-coding RNA from Glycine soja, 631 nucleotides. RefSeq lists it as uncharacterized. The transcript is spliced from 4 exons. Lineage: Eukaryota; Viridiplantae; Streptophyta; Magnoliopsida; Fabales; Fabaceae. The record is from RefSeq and is a predicted model, not a curated record.
GUAGAUGACAUACCAAAUCAGAAAUUCUGAAAUCUGAUUGGCCAACAUGCGUGGUCACACACCAUAGUGCCACGUCCUUAACCUGGAAGCAUCUGGACUCUCUUCCACAAAGUAUAAAUCCGUCAUUCCAUCACGGUCACGGUUAUCUCUGAUAAACUAACUUUCCUCUGCAUAAAAAAAAACAACUAACGUUCCUAUUUCCGAUUUCAAAUUCCUUCCGGCGACACAUUCGGAUCCCAAUAUGAAGACCCGUUUUCCCUCCACACGGGUCAUCUUCGUGGCCUCACUCUGUUUCCUUGCAAGCUUCGAAUUAUUGCAAGCCAAAACCAUCGACCCCUACAAGGUUCUUGGGGUUGAUAAAAAUGCAAGUCAGCGGGAAAUUCAGAAGGCUUUUAACAAGCUCUCUCUUCAGUAUCACCCUGACAAGAACAAAUCCAAGGGUGCAUAAGAGAAGUUUUCUCAGAUCAAUAAUGUGAGAUUCUCUUGUGGAGCCGCCGAGCCGACGUAUGGAUCAUUUUGGGACAAAGUUGUGUUAGGUUAAUCAACUCCUCCAUAGCUGGUUCAUAAUUAUUUUUGUUGAAUUGAGGAUGUAAAUCACAAAUUUAAUUAUUUGUAUGAACAAAUUUACUUU